Molecule: transfer RNA, 87 nt
Organism: Alkalibacterium sp. 20
Lineage: Bacteria; Bacillati; Bacillota; Bacilli; Lactobacillales; Carnobacteriaceae
Rfam family: tRNA
About the family: Transfer RNA (tRNA) molecules are approximately 80 nucleotides in length.
Source: Rfam
GGAGAAUUGUCCGAGUGGCUUAAGGAGCACGCUUGGAAAGCGUGUAUACGGUUUUCCGUAUCGAGGGUUCGAAUCCCUCAUUCUCCU